UACGUAGGGUGCAAGCGUUAAUCGGAAUUACUGGGCGUAAAGCGUGCGCAGGCGGUUGUGCAAGACAGAUGUGAAAUCCCCGGGCUCAACCUGGGAACUGCAUUUGUGACUGCACGACUGGAGUACGGCAGAGGGGGAUGGAAUUCCGCGUGUAGCAGUGAAAUGCGUAGAUAUGCGGAGGAACACCGAUGGCGAAGGCAAUCCCCUGGGCCUGGACGGACGCUCAUGCACGAAAGCGGGGGGAGCAAACA
RNAcentral lists this ribosomal RNA (251 nucleotides) under uncultured Azohydromonas sp. Its description in RNAcentral is "partial 16S ribosomal RNA". It matches the Rfam family "Bacterial small subunit ribosomal RNA", at positions 524 to 774 of the family's 1533-position model. The record is from RNAcentral. Lineage: Bacteria; Pseudomonadati; Pseudomonadota; Betaproteobacteria; Burkholderiales; Sphaerotilaceae.